Molecule: ribosomal RNA, 636 nt
Filed under: Sanguibacter inulinus
Lineage: Bacteria; Bacillati; Actinomycetota; Actinomycetes; Micrococcales; Sanguibacteraceae
Description: bacterial SSU rRNA
Rfam family: Bacterial small subunit ribosomal RNA
Source: RNAcentral
AGAGCUUGCUCUGGUUGAUCAGUGGCGAACGGGUGAGUAACACGUGAGUAACCUGCCCUUGACUCUGGGAUAACUCCGGGAAACCGGGGCUAAUACCGGAUACGAGACGCGACCGCAUGGUCGGCGUCUGGAAAGUUUUUCGGUCAAGGAUGGACUCGCGGCCUAUCAGCUUGUUGGUGAGGUAAUGGCUCACCAAGGCGUCGACGGGUAGCCGGCCUGAGAGGGCGACCGGCCACACUGGGACUGAGACACGGCCCAGACUCCUACGGGAGGCAGCAGUGGGGAAUAUUGCACAAUGGGCGAAAGCCUGAUGCAGCGACGCCGCGUGAGGGAUGAAGGCCUUCGGGUUGUAAACCUCUUUCAGUAGGGAAGAAGCGAAAGUGACGGUACCUGCAGAAGAAGCGCCGGCUAACUACGUGCCAGCAGCCGCGGUAACACGUAGGGCGCAAGCGUUGUCCGGAAUUAUUGGGCGUAAAGAGCUCGUAGGCGGUUUGUCGCGUCUGGUGUGAAAACUCAAGGCUCAACCUUGAGCUUGCAUCGGGUACGGGCAGACUAGAGUGUGGUAGGGGUGACUGGAAUUCCUGGUGUAGCGGUGGAAUGCGCAGAUAUCAGGAGGAACACCGAUGGCGAAGGCAG